AUAAACGCGAUGAAGAGAAGAGUAAAUCCAUGAAUCUUUCGUAGAGAGCCCCGCCGGUGAAAAAGGGUAAAGAAGAUGGAUCGAAACAAGACUCCGAGCAGCGCCAUGGAACUCACCCCGAGGGAUAUGGCGACGGGCACUCCCGUUAUAGAGUUGAGGUAUAGUCCGACUCGUUCGGCAGUACCAAACAAGGUUCGUACGGUGACGUGCGGACGAACAGGGGUGGCACCACGAUGAGAAUCUCGUCCCCAAG
RNAcentral lists this non-coding RNA (253 nucleotides) under Exiguobacterium sp. 8A. RNAcentral describes it as "T-box". It matches the Rfam family "T-box leader". Rfam says of the family: Uncharged tRNA acts as the effector for transcription antitermination of genes in the T-box leader family. T-boxes are found upstream of many aminoacyl-tRNA synthetase genes and some amino acid biosynthetic genes usually in Gram-positive bacteria. RNAcentral also lists the same sequence under 1 other name. Lineage: Bacteria; Bacillati; Bacillota; Bacilli; Caryophanales. The record is from RNAcentral.